AUUGAACGCUGGCGGCAGGCUUAACACAUGCAAGUCGAGCGGGGUGAUGGUGCUUGCACUAUCACUUAGCGGCGGACGGGUGAGUAAUGCUUAGGAAUCUGCCUAUUAGUGGGGGACAACAUCUCGAAAGGGAUGCUAAUACCGCAUACGUCCUACGAGAGAAAGCAGGGGAUCACUUGUGACCUUGCGCUAAUAGAUGAGCCUAAGUCGGAUUAGCUAGUUGGUGGGGUAAAGGCCUACCAAGGCGACGAUCUGUAGCGGGUCUGAGAGGAUGAUCCGCCACACUGGGACUGAGACACGGCCCAGACUCCUACGGGAGGCAGCAGUGGGGAAUAUUGGACAAUGGGGGGAACCCUGAUCCAGCCAUGCCGCGUGUGUGAAGAAGGCCUUAUGGUUGUAAAGCACUUUAAGCGAGGAGGAGGCUCUUUUGGUUAAUACCCAAGAUGAGUGGACGUUACUCGCAGAAUAAGCACCGGCUAACCCUGUGCCAGCAGCCGCCGUAA
RNAcentral lists this ribosomal RNA (503 nucleotides) under uncultured bacterium. RNAcentral's name for it is "partial 16S ribosomal RNA". It matches the Rfam family "Bacterial small subunit ribosomal RNA", at positions 30 to 523 of the family's 1533-position model. The record is from RNAcentral.